CUCAAAUGUGAAAGUCGAGGGCUAUCCAAAGGGGGUACAGCCCCUUUAAAAAAGGACACAACCUCCUUCAGCGGAUAAUUUCCACACAUCUAGUCCCGUGGGCCUUAAAGCAGCCACCCCUAAAGAUUGCGUCAAAGCUCCACCAACUAAAAACCCCAAAAACAAUAUGACUCCCUACAUUCAUAACAGGCCAACCUAUAACAAUAGAUGAAUCAAUGCUAGAACGAGUAACCAGGACACCACGUCCCCCCCAGCGCCAGCUUAUAUACCAUUAACAGCAAAACCUCAAUAAUAACCACCACACCAUUGAGUACACCCUGUCAAUCCAACCCAGGGGCGCAUACUGGAGUGAUUAAAAUCUACAAAAGGAACUCGGCAAACCUAAGACCCGACUGUUUACCAAAAACAUAGCCUUCAGCCAAACAAGUAUUGAAGGUGAUGCCUGCCCAGUGACACC
Molecule: ribosomal RNA, 457 nt
Filed under: Aratinga weddellii
Lineage: Eukaryota; Metazoa; Chordata; Aves; Psittaciformes; Psittacidae
Description: partial 16S ribosomal RNA
Source: RNAcentral